RNAcentral lists this transfer RNA (64 nucleotides) under uncultured Eubacterium sp. It matches the Rfam family "tRNA", at positions 6 to 65 of the family's 71-position model. Rfam says of the family: Transfer RNA (tRNA) molecules are approximately 80 nucleotides in length. Their secondary structure includes four short double-helical elements and three loops (D, anti-codon, and T loops). Lineage: Bacteria; Bacillati; Bacillota; Clostridia; Eubacteriales; Eubacteriaceae. The record is from RNAcentral.
CGUAGCUCAGCUGGAUAGAGCAACGGCCUUCUAAGCCGUGGGUCGGGGGUUCGAAUCCCUCCGG